UACGUAGGGAGCGAGCGUUAUCCGGAUUUAUUGGGUGUAAAGGGUGCGUAGACGGGAAUGCAAGUUAGUUGUGAAAUCCCUUGGCUUAACUGAGGAACUGCAACUAAAACUACAUUUCUUGAGUGCAGGAGAGGUAAGUGGAAUUCCUAGUGUAGCGGUGAAAUGCGUAGAUAUUAGGAGGAACACCAGUGGCGAAGGCGACUUACUGGACUGUAACUGACGUUGAGGCACGAAAGUGUGGGGAGCAAACAGG
Molecule: ribosomal RNA, 253 nt
Filed under: uncultured bacterium
Lineage: Bacteria
Description: partial 16S ribosomal RNA
Rfam family: Bacterial small subunit ribosomal RNA
Source: RNAcentral